This 253-nucleotide ribosomal RNA is filed under the name uncultured microorganism. RNAcentral describes it as "partial 16S ribosomal RNA". It matches the Rfam family "Bacterial small subunit ribosomal RNA", at positions 524 to 776 of the family's 1533-position model. The record is from RNAcentral.
UACGUAGGUGGCAAGCGUUGUCCGGAAUUAUUGGGCGUAAAGCGCGCGCAGGUGGUUCCUUAAGUCUGAUGUGAAAGCCCCCGGCUCAACCGGGGAGGGUCAUUGGAAACUGGGGAACUUGAGUGCAGAAGAGGAUAGUGGAAUUCCAAGUGUAGCGGUGAAAUGCGUAGAGAUUUGGAGGAACACCGGUGGCGAAAGCGGCUCUCUGGACUGUAACUGACACUGAGGCUCGAAAGCGUGGGUAGCAAACAGG